Non-coding RNA from Paramuricea clavata, 73 nucleotides. The record is from the annotation of a GenBank genome assembly. Lineage: Eukaryota; Metazoa; Cnidaria; Anthozoa; Malacalcyonacea; Plexauridae.
GACCGCGUAGCUCAGUUGGAAGAGCAUUAGGCUGGUAUUCCAAAGGUCGUAGGUUCGAAUCCCACCGUGGCCG